Molecule: long non-coding RNA, 2294 nt
Organism: Podarcis muralis (Common wall lizard)
Lineage: Eukaryota; Metazoa; Chordata; Lepidosauria; Squamata; Lacertidae
Source: Ensembl
GAUGUGGCUGCAGUAUUUGCACAUUGAGUGAGCCCCAAUCUCUGAACAGUGAGAAGCUCCAGCACUUUCCCAGCAUUUAGUUUCCUUGAAACGAAGGUCAGUUGAGACUGUGGUAUCUUUAGGACAUGUUGUUUUACUAGCAGGGAGUGCCUGAUGGUUGCUGCUCGGGCAUUUUGAGAUGUUUAAAUGGAUAGUGCAAUUUGUGAAUUUGGACCUGCCAUGCCAAAAAUUAGGGGGAGUUGCACACAAGUCACAAUUUGGUCUGCCACCUUGAUUCAAAAUAGCAUCCGGCAUCCAAACUUCAACCAUCUUGGGAGCCUUUGUGCCAAUUUUGGCAAUGAUAUCUGCUUACCUGUAAUUUCUAUAAAGGUGGUCGAAUUGGAUUGGUCACCCCCAUUCUCUCAAGAUUUCUAAGUGCAAUUUUUGAAUAUAUCUGGUCUACCUUUUGUCAGAGUCAAACAAAUAAUUAACAGAGAUUGUUGCUAGAUUUCUCCUUCUGGCUGUAGAAACACAAAAGGAAAUCUCCCACAAUUAAACUCAUCCCAUCCACUUGCUGUUCUCACACACUACACUUUUUAAUCUGGUUAUAUCAUUUAUUGGCUCACUCUUAGCGGCCAUAUUUUAAGGUAUCAUGUUGGACGUCAUAUUUAUACAUGUUUUAGAUACUCCUGCUACUUUAUACCAUUUAUAUGACAACCCACUUUAAUGUAUUUUUAUGCUUUGAUAUUUUACUUGUACAGUUGUUGGUUUUAGUUUGUUUGGGUCUAUAGAGGUAUAAUAAAGAAUUUGUAUCUUACUAGAUGGGCUAUUGGUCUUCUACAACAGGGCUUUUCCUAGACUUUUAUGACUCGGAUUUCCAUCUUUUAGUUUGGAGUGUGUGUGUGGGGGGGCACUUCCUGCCUUCCUUUAUUCUGAAGGCCAGAAAUUUUUGGUCUCAAAUCUUCAGUGGAUAUUUUUUGCUUCUUUACCCAGUUCAGGAUACAAGCAAAACGGCACACACAAGCAAACUUACUUGUGACAUAUGCCUUAUGUAGUUCUAGAAAGCUCACAACUUCCAUUAAUUUGUAGGUAAUUUGUAAAGCUUCAUAACUUUAAUAGCAGUCAUGCUUUUAUCUCUUGAAAACCUUUUUUUUUUAAAAAGAAAAAGACAGUUUCCACAGGCUGCUGCCUGGUUUAACCAGAAAACACAAUCCUUCAUAUGAUAUAAUUAUCAGACAGAGAACUCCUUUUUGCAAUGUCUCUGAAAUUCUAUGCAUUUGUCUAUAUCAAAGCAGUAAAGCAUAGCACUGUUGAAUGUUUUUGGCAUUUAGACUUCAAAGUGACACAUGCUGAGAGGAAAGAAAGUAACAGCAAAUUGCAAAAAAGAAGAGCCAAUGAGACAGCUUAGAAAAUGUGCUGGGUUUAAUCUACUAAUAAGUUGACUAAUGCAAGCACCACUAAAAUAAACUUACUGGUGGACUGGACCCACUGACAAGGCUCAAAACCUAAGCCAACUCCACAACAGGAUUCAGCUCUUAAAAAAACUUCCCAAGACAGCUUUUUUUCACUUGACCAAACCUCUGUCCCCUUCACUCUCAUAGGGCCCCUCGAGAAUUGCAAAGAGCGCUCUGCAGCCUUGAGAAUCUGAUCAUUUUUGUCUUUAGCUGGAUCACAUUGCUCUGCUUCUAAUAUACAAUGCACUCUAUGGAAAGGCAACGUUACCGUAUGCUUCACUGCGAUUCCCUAUAAGAUAAUCAUCCAAAGGAUUCCUGAAAGUAUAACAAAGGCAUUCUGAAAACAUAGCGAUAGUUCCUUUGCCUUAUUUUCUGCAUUUGCAUUAUGAUGCUUUCAACAGAGGGACAUUGAAAUACCAAACAAGUCAGGCAUCAACCUUGCUGUUCAAUUAAGAAAAAAGGGCAUUUAAACACAUAUUUUCUAAAAAGCUAGGGAGCAUCUUUUGAAAACAACCUAUAAAGCAAUCUGGACAUGUGAUGCUUCAUGAAAAACCACCCGUUUUAUCUUAUCUGAUAAACUGGGGCACUUGGAAAACAGAAAGUGACAUGAAUGUUGCAUGUUUGAUAUUCAUCCUGCAAGCCCAUUUUCAAGCUAGUAAAUGCAGUCACAAAGGCAGCUAUCUAGUUUGUCAACUCCACACACUGACUUAUAGCAUCUUGCUGGAAUUACAAUUGAACUGCAAACUAUGGAUUCAAGAGUGUUAAGGGUCGCACAAAGAAGCAAAUGGCUUCUAAACUCAUUCCAAUGGCAACAGAGUUCAUGUCAGGUUUCGGCUCCUAUGUAUUGUGCAAGAAAAAGGA